This 998-nucleotide ribosomal RNA is filed under the name Lepetodrilus schrolli. RNAcentral's name for it is "12S ribosomal RNA". It matches the Rfam family "Bacterial small subunit ribosomal RNA". The record is from RNAcentral. Lineage: Eukaryota; Metazoa; Mollusca; Gastropoda; Lepetellida; Lepetodrilidae.
AAACCAUAAAAAAUGGGCAUUUAAGGCCGAAAUGCAUGGUACUUUAAGGGAUCUGGUGAGUAUAGGCAGGAAGAAAUAGUAAAGUGAUUUAAAAUUGUUUUAGUACUUUGGGCCGUUAGUAUAGUAAUUUUUAAAUUAUGCUUAAAUUAUUAGUCACUAGGUGUGUACACCAGUGUUGAGGAUUAAACAAUAAACGGAAGUUUGAUUUAGUGAGUAGAAGAAUCUAGGUCCGGCAAAUAUUUGUGCCAGCANNNGCGGUUACACAAACGGGUCAAGUCAAAAUUUGUUCGGCGGAAGAGAAGGUUAGAGAUGAAGGAGAAUAGGGAGGACGAAUACUAGUUUAAUAAAGGUACAAUUCGGGUAAGAGAAUUACGUUCUUGGCUUCCUUAGAUCUUGAGGCCUUGAAAUUUUAGGUGGAGACCGGGAUUAGAUACCCCGUUAUUCUGAAUUAUAAAAAUUGAUAUAUAAAUUAUAUCUGCCUGGGUACUACAAGUUUUAGAUAUAAUUGAGAGUGUCUAGAGGUUACUUAAAACUUAAAAGACUUGGCGGUGCCUUAUUUCUUACCAGGGGAACCUGCCCCAUAAACUGAUGAUCCACGUUUUAGCUUACCUUAUUUAGAAUUGGGUUUUGACCCUUUUCAGCUUGUAUACCGUCGUCGUCAGGCCGCCUUGGAGAGGAGUGGAGUGGCCUAAAAGAAUUUUGUUGGUCUUGUGGUAUUAAUAGUAUUUAUGGGAGAAACAUGUAAUUCUAGACGUCAGAUCGAGGUGCAGCUUAUAAUAAGGCGGAAAGGUGGGUUACAAUAGGAAUUUCCUAUAAUGGAAUAGUCCCUGUAAUGGGAUUAUGAAAGUGGACUUGGAAGUAAUUUAAAUGUAUGAUUAGAAAGCUUAAAUGAAAUAUGAUGGUACUAAGGCGUGCACAAAUCGCCCGUCGCUCUUGUUGAGAAAUAAGAUAAGUCGUAACAUAGUAGGGGUACUGGAAAGUGCCCCCGGGAUAAAGGA